RNAcentral lists this ribosomal RNA (1531 nucleotides) under Salmonella enterica subsp. enterica serovar Thompson. Its description in RNAcentral is "partial 23S ribosomal RNA". It matches the Rfam family "Bacterial large subunit ribosomal RNA", at positions 711 to 2141 of the family's 2925-position model. The record is from RNAcentral. Lineage: Bacteria; Pseudomonadati; Pseudomonadota; Gammaproteobacteria; Enterobacterales; Enterobacteriaceae. RNAcentral also lists the same sequence under 4 other names.
AGACCCGAAACCCGGUGAUCUAGCCAUGGGCAGGUUGAAGGUUGGGUAACACUAACUGGAGGACCGAACCGACUAAUGUUGAAAAAUUAGCGGAUGACCUGUGGCUGGGGGUGAAAGGCCAAUCAAACCGGGAGAUAGCUGGUUCUCCCCGAAAGCUAUUUAGGUAGCGCCUCGUGAAUUCAUCUCCGGGGGUAGAGCACUGUUUCGGCUAGGGGGCCAUCCCGGCUUACCAACCCGAUGCAAACUGCGAAUACCGGAGAAUGUUAUCACGGGAGACACACGGCGGGUGCUAACGUCCGUCGUGAAGAGGGAAACAACCCAGACCGCCAGCUAAGGUCCCAAAGUCAUGGUUAAGUGGGAAACGAUGUGGGAAGGCCCAGACAGCCAGGAUGUUGGCUUAGAAGCAGCCAUCAUUUAAAGAAAGCGUAAUAGCUCACUGGUCGAGUCGGCCUGCGCGGAAGAUGUAACGGGGCUAAACCAUGCACCGAAGCUGCGGCAGCGAACGUAUCACUUAAAGCGAUUCAGCGGGUUACGAUUGACGGAGCGAAGCGACGUCAAAGCGUAUACAAAGUCGAGUCGGUUUAAGGAUACGUUCGUUGGGUAGGGGAGCGUUCUGUAAGCCUGUGAAGGUGGCCUGUGAGGGUUGCUGGAGGUAUCAGAAGUGCGAAUGCUGACAUAAGUAACGAUAAAGCGGGUGAAAAGCCCGCUCGCCGGAAGACCAAGGGUUCCUGUCCAACGUUAAUCGGGGCAGGGUGAGUCGACCCCUAAGGCGAGGCCGAAAGGCGUAGUCGAUGGGAAACGGGUUAAUAUUCCCGUACUUGGUGUUACUGCGAAGGGGGGACGGAGAAGGCUAUGUUGGCCGGGCGACGGUUGUCCCGGUUUAAGCGUGUAGGUGUGUGUUCCAGGUAAAUCCGGUUCACUUUAACACUGAGGCGUGAUGACGAGGCACUACGGUGCUGAAGCAACAAAUGCCCUGCUUCCAGGAAAAGCCUCUAAGCAUCAGGUAACAUCAAAUCGUACCCCAAACCGACACAGGUGGUCAGGUAGAGAAUACCAAGGCGCUUGAGAGAACUCGGGUGAAGGAACUAGGCAAAAUGGUGCCGUAACUUCGGGAGAAGGCACGCUGACACGUAGGUGAAGUGAUUUACUCAUGGAGCUGAAGUCAGUCGAAGAUACCAGCUGGCUGCAACUGUUUAUUAAAAACACAGCACUGUGCAAACACGAAAGUGGACGUAUACGGUGUGACGCCUGCCCGGUGCCGGAAGGUUAAUUGAUGGGGUCAGCGCAAGCGAAGCUCCUGAUCGAAGCCCCGGUAAACGGCGGCCGUAACUAUAACGGUCCUAAGGUAGCGAAAUUCCUUGUCGGGUAAGUUCCGACCUGCACGAAUGGCGUAAUGAUGGCCAGGCUGUCUCCACCCGAGACUCAGUGAAAUUGAACUCGCUGUGAAGAUGCAGUGUACCCGCGGCAAGACGGAAAGACCCCGUGAACCUUUACUAUAGCUUGACACUGAACAUUGAGCCUUGAUGUGUAG